This is a long non-coding RNA of Oncorhynchus tshawytscha (Chinook salmon), 1297 nucleotides long. Lineage: Eukaryota; Metazoa; Chordata; Actinopteri; Salmoniformes; Salmonidae. The record is from Ensembl.
GUGGGAACGCGGGGGUGUAGGAGGGGGGGUAGUUGGGGUUGGCGUACCCUGGUGUGGUCCAGGUAGAGUUCUCCAUGGGGGAGUGGACCUCUGUCAUCAGGGUGUGGAACACCAGACUCAGGGUUCCAUUCUCCAGUCCCUCCACCUCUGGAUGCAACAACAACUCUGCCUUCUGCUCCGGAGUUAACAGGUGUAGCACCUCCAGCUAUGGAGAGACAGAGACCAGCAGUAUGUUUCAGUGAGAGACAGAGAGAGACCAGCAGUAUGUUUCAGUGAGCAACAGAGAGAGACCAGCAGUAUGUUUCAGUGAGAGACAGACAGAGACCACCAGUAUGUUUCAGUGAGAGACAGAGAGAGACCAGCAGUAUGUUUCAGUGAGAGACAGACAGAGACCAGCAGUAUGUUACAGAGAGAGACAGACCAUAUGUUUCAGUGAGAGACAGAGAGAGACCAGCAGUAUGUUUCAGUGAGAGACAGAGAGAGACCAGCAGUAUGUUUCAGUGAGAGACAGACAGAAACCAGCAGUAUGUUUCAGUGUGAGACAGAGAGAGACCACCAGUAUGUUUCAGAGAGAGACAGAGAGAGACCACCAGUAUGUUUCUGGUGGUGAGAGAGGAUAGAGAGAGAGAGGAUAGAGAGAGAUAGAGAGAGAGGGAUAGAAAGAGGGAGAGCAAGAGAUCGUGAGCCGAGACAACGGUUCCUCAGUAGUGUAACUCACCCCACUAAAGACUAUGUUGAGGGCUGUGAAGUCCCUCAUACGAGCGACGGCUUUAAACGAGCCAAAGUUCCUGAUCAGCCAGUCCUCACUGUUCUCCCCUGGCCUCACACAUCCUGCACACAGAGAAGAGUUAUGAGCUGUUGGGGGCACUGUUACAUCAUGUCAAAAGGGUUUCUGGGUUGGUGGUUUCUGGGUUGGUGGUUUCUGGGUUGGCGGUUUCUGGGUUGGUGGUUUCUGGGUUGGUGGUGUCUGGGUUGGUGGUUUCUGGGUUGGUGGUUUCUGGGUUGGUGGUUUCUGGGUUGGUGGUUUCUGGGUUGGUGGUUUCUGGGUUGGUGGUUUCUGGGUUGGUGGUGUCUGGGUUGGUGGUGUCUGGGUUGAUGGUUUCUGGGUUGGUGGUUUCUGGGUUGGUGGUGUCUGGGUUGGUGGUUUCUGGGUUGGUGGUUUCUGGGUUGGUCGUUUCUGGGUUGGUGGUUUCUGGGUUGGUCGUUUCCUUUCCAGCCCUUCUCUUGGUCUAGGACACCUGGUUCUCCUAAUCAGCUGGACCAGGUGUGUUUGUGUUGGUCUGGAGCAAAAGCCUGC